UCAAGCGCGAGAGUAAGAACUAUUCAAGAAGUCACAGUACCUUAGCAAAACUUUGCUAUCAGGUGGGCAAUUUCUUACGCGUAAAUAAAAUGCUAUGCAUGUGUUAUGCUUUUAAAUACAAAUUGGAUCUUCAAGUGUGGUAUGCUUUAUUACGCUUAAAUGAGUUAAGCUUUAUUAUGCUGCACGUUAAAUGAUUUACGCUAUGCUGUUUAUACUAUUUACGCCCUAUGUAAUUUACGCUUGAUUACGCUUAUUUACGCUUGAAUGCUUUACGCUGAUAAGUUUAUGCUUAUGUUUGAUGCUUGCGUAUGUUGGGGGAGGCCUCCCUCAACAGUACGAUGCCGUGUCCGCUGAGGAGGGCCUUCCUCACGGCGCGAUGCCCGUGUCCGCUGAGAGAGGCCUCUCUCGCGGCACGAUGCCAGUAUGCCAGUAUGCCAGUGUUACAGUGUCUAUUGGGGGAGGCCUCCCUCAAUAGUACGAUGCCGUGACCGCUGAGGGAGGCCCCCUUCACGGCGCGAUGCCCGUGUUCGUUGGAAAAGGCCUUCUCCACGACACGAUGCGUGUUUAUGAUUGUUAAUGACGAAGAAUGCCCUUAUGCUAUUUAUGAAUUUGGAAAUGUUUAAUGAGCAAAGGAUAUGAAAGAAACUCAUGCCUCUUAUGCGAUAUUGUGAAAUUGUUAAUGAUGUUAUGUUAUAUGCUUGGCAACUGCCCACUAAGUACUCUUGUACUUAGCCCUUCGAUGUUUAUGUUUGUGCAGGUUGAGCUGUGAUGGGCGAUGAAGUGUUGUUGCUGAGUGGAGUUUUUGUUGAACUUAAAGUAGGCUCAGAAAGGAUACAUGUCUUCAUACAUGUAUCUCAGUUAUGUAUUCCGCUGUAAACACUGAUUAUUUCAGUUACGCCUUCCGUUGCAAACUCUGAUAAUAUUUUAGCCAAGCCCCUAACGAUGCCUUUUCCUUUUAAGGAAUAUUUCACGCGUAUCCAAGCUCUUUGAGUAUUCUUUUAUGCACCCCUUUCUAAACCCGCUUCUUAAUUUCCCUUCCCCAGUCAUGGUUUUCCCGGAUUAAUUAUCUUUAAUUAAGGCCGGUCGUGACAGAGUGGUAUCAGAGCAGUUCGUUUGCUCUGAGCCUAAGAGUUUAUUUAAGCCAAACUUAGAAUGGAUCACUAAAGUGUCUAGAGUUCAAUCGACAAAGCUCAGCACUUCAUCGCAUCACACUCAACGAAGCAGAAUGGU
RNAcentral lists this long non-coding RNA (1230 nucleotides) under Salvia miltiorrhiza (redroot sage). Its description in RNAcentral is "long non-coding RNA (SMIL_LNC000820)". Lineage: Eukaryota; Viridiplantae; Streptophyta; Magnoliopsida; Lamiales; Lamiaceae. The record is from RNAcentral.